CACCGGUUUACUCGCCUCCACCACCUGUUUACUUGCCACCACCUCCGGUUUACUCACCUCCUCCACCGAUUUAUUCCCCACCUCCACCGAUUUACUCGCCUCCACCACCGGUGUAUUCGCCUCCACCACCGGUGUAUUCACCUCCUCCACCUAUUUAUUCGCCGCCGCCGCCACCACCGGUGUAUUCACCACCGCCACCACCACCUGUUUAUUCACCUCCUCCACCAGUUUUCUCUCCACCGCCACCAUCACCUCCUCCACCAGUUAUGUCACCACCACCGCCGACUCCAUUACCAACGCCACCUUAUUGUGUACGCUCACCGCCACCUCCACCAAAUUCUCCACCUCCUCCGCCUCCACUUACUUACUCCCCUCCAUCCCCUCCCCCUUCCCCCUACUAUUACAAUUCACCACCACCUCCCCCGCCAAACUCACCGUCACCUCCACCACCACCACCGGUUUACAUAUACUCAUCACCACCGCCCCCAUACUCUUCAACCCCGCCUCCUCAUUCACCUCCUCCAUCCCCGGUUCCUUGUAUAGAACCCCCACCCCCACCUCCUCCUUGUAUAGAACCACCUCCAUCACCUCCCCCACCAGUUUAUUACUAUAAUUCUCCGCCUCCACCACCGCCUUCACCAUCACCUCCCCCACCGGUGUAUUAUAGUUCUCCGCCCCCACCAUCACCAUCACCUCCGCCACCGGCACUGCCCCCACCAUCACCUCCACCACCAGUUUAUUAUUAUAAUUCACCACCCCCGCCGUCUCCUUCACCCCCUCCUCCCGUCUACUAUCAUUCCCCACCCC
RNAcentral lists this long non-coding RNA (807 nucleotides) under Nicotiana tabacum (common tobacco). RNAcentral's name for it is "long non-coding RNA (NTAB_LNC000612)". Lineage: Eukaryota; Viridiplantae; Streptophyta; Magnoliopsida; Solanales; Solanaceae. The record is from RNAcentral.